GACGAACGCUGGCGGCGUGCUUAACACAUGCAAGUCGAACGAUGAAGCCCAGCUUGCUGGGUGGAUUAGUGGCGAACGGGUGAGUAACACGUGGGCAACCUGCCCCAAACUCUGGGAUAACUCCUCGAAAGAGGUGCUAAUACCGGAUACGAACUAGGUAGACAUCUGCACUAGUUGGAAAGUUUUUCGGUUUGGGAUGGGCCCGCGGCCUAUCAGCUUGUUGGUGAGGUAACGGCUCACCAAGGCUACGACGGGUAACCGGCCUGAGAGGGCGCCCGGUCACACUGGGACUGAGACACGGGCCAGACUACUACGGGAGGCAGCAGUAGGGAAUAUUGCGCGAUGGGCGAAAGCCUGACGCAGCGACGCCGCGUGAGGGAUGAAGGUCUUCGGAUCGUAAACCUCUUUCAGUAGGGACGAAGCGAAAGUGACGGUACCUAAAGAAGAAGCACCGGCUAACUACGUGCCAGCCGCCGCAGUAA
RNAcentral lists this ribosomal RNA (482 nucleotides) under uncultured bacterium. RNAcentral describes it as "partial 16S ribosomal RNA". It matches the Rfam family "Bacterial small subunit ribosomal RNA", at positions 28 to 523 of the family's 1533-position model. The record is from RNAcentral.